AUGUGCUUAUUCACAGAUAAUAGCACAGAAGCAGAGACUUUAUGUCUAAGCAGACCUAGAUUCAGAGCAGACCCGAAGCUGCUUGAAGAAGGCUGGAGGUAUGUUAAGGAGACAAGAGCUGUCAAGAAGCAGGGAUGUCUCUGGAAAGGAUGGUUUAGUAGACACCUGUUAAUUUGUCUGCCUGGCAUUUAUCCAUCUUCCUCAUGUGAUUGGAUUAAAGAUGGAUGGAAGAUACUAUCAUGUGAUUCAGAACCAAUAACAUUCAGUUUAUUGACUGGCAUGGUAUGAACAGGAAGAUCCAUUUACACCUGAAGUAAGAAAAUGUAAGCCGAAUACUUCUUUACUUAAGCAAUUUUGAGCUGAGUUACUGUCUCUUAUAAAAAAAAAGUGACUAAACUGAAACAAAUGGCUUCUUGGAGAAAUCCCUAAUGUACUAUGGUGUUUUAAACACUUAUACUCUUAAAGUGGCAUGGGCCAUCCCCUCACCUCUUUCCCUCAUAACACUCUUUUCUGGUUCUGAUCAUAUAAAAGAGAUAAUGGUCACUUCCUUUUUAUAAUUUUUCUUUAUGAGGUUAAAUGACACAUACAAGUAAAAGGAUAGUAUCUCAACCAAAUGUUACGGAUUCUAAAACUAAUCACUCGGUGCAAUUAAUCUGUGCUUAUGCUAGUGUUUGUUUGUGCUGCCUCCUCCCACACCAAGUCUAUUUACUUUGUUCAUUUACCAACAUGACUCAAAAUACAAUCAAAGCUUCAAAAAAAAAAUUACAGCAGAUGGGUGUCAAAUUAUAUUGUAAAAUUUAUCAAGUCAUUCCUAAGGUUACAUUAAAUAAACAAUAGGAAAUCUUACCUUUGCCCAUGAUUGAACUGAGAAAAGAAAUACAUGAUAUAUUACAGAAUCAAAUCACAGGUAAUGUUCUUACAAUGGGAAAAUAAAGUAAACAAAGGAAUAAACAAACAAAGCUGUAUUUGUAAAAUAUUUGAGUAUAGAAUUCAAUAUAAUUGACCUAAAUAAAGUAAUUGAUUUCACCCUCAUAAGAGGUCUGAAUUGGAUCUUAAAUAUUAGGUCAUUACUAUGAGUAAUGACAGGGAUACAGAAAAAUAUAGGUCCACAAUGAAACUCACUUUCAACUAAUUGAGCAAUAUUGAAGGUGAUUUGAAACCUCUUUGAUAUCCUUAAAUAGUGGAAAUUGAUCCCUCCUUGUAAUAAAGCUUGGCCUUCAGACAAAGCUUGAUUUUUCUACAAGAUAUAAAAUGGCAAAAAAGAAAUCUUUUAAAAAAGACUACUCAGCAUGUACUUCAUAUUUUUUCAGUGAGAGAAAAAAACUAAUUUUGCAUAUCCAUUAAAACAUACUUGAUAGUGAGUUUCCUGCUAAACCCUUAAAUUAACAAUUGAGCUUUUUUUGGUAUAUUUUAUUUCUUUUUUUUUUUAUUUUUAUCAUUAUACUUUAAGUUCUGGGGUACAUGUGCAGAACAUGCAGGUUUGUUACAUAUGUAUACACAUGCCAUGGUGGUUUGCUACAUCCAUCACCCCAUCAUCUACAUUAGGUAUGUCUCCUAAUGCUAUUCCUCCCCAAUCCCUCCAUUCCCCUGCUAUUCUUUUCUUAUCCCCCCAACUCCAGACAGGCCCCGGUGUGUGACGUUUCUAUCCCUAGGUCCAUGUGUUCUCAUUGUUCAAUACCCACUUAUGAGUGAGAACAGGUCGUGUUUGAUUUUCUGUUCUUGGGUCAUUUUGCUGAAAAUGAUGGUUUCCAGCUUUAUCCAUGUCCCUGCAAAGGACAAGAACUCAUCCUUUUUUAUGGCCACAUAGUAUUCCAUGGUGUAUAUGUGCCACAUUUUCUUUAUCCAGUCUAUCAUUGAUAGGCAUUUGGAUUGGUUCCAAGUCCUUGCUAUUGUCAACAGUGCCGCAAUAAACAUAUGUGUGCAUGUGUCUUUAGAAUAGAAUGAUUUAUAAUCUUUUGGGUAUAUACCCAGUAAUGGGAUUGCUAGGUCAAUUGGUAUUUCUAUUUCUCGAUCCUUGAGGCAUCACCACACUGUCUUCCACAAUGGUUGAACUAAUUUUACACUCCCACCAACAGUGUAAAAGCAUUCCUAUUUCUCCACAUCCUCUCUAGCAUAUGUUGUCUCCAGAUAUUUUUAAUGAUCACCAUUCUAACUGGUAUGAGAUGGUAUCUCAAUAUGGUUUUGAUUUGCAUUUCUCUAAUGACAAGUGAUGAUGAGCUUUUUUUCACGUUUGUUGUCUGCAUAGAUGUCGUCUUAUACUGAAUAAUUCAGUAUAAUUUCAGUAUAAGAUGUCACUUAUACUGAAAAGUGUCUGUUCAUAUUAUUCACCUGCUUUUGAUGGGGUUGCUUCUUUCUUGUAAAUGUGUUUAAGUUUUUUUUAGAUUCUGGAUAUUAGCCCUUUGUCAGGUGGGUAGAUUGCAAACUGUUUUCCCAUUCUGUUGGUUGCCAGCUCACUCUAAUGGUUUUUUUUUUUUUUUGGCUGUGCAGAAGAUCUUUAGUUUAAUUAGAUCCCAUUUGACUAUUUUGGCUUUUGUUGCCAGUGCUUUUGGUAUUUUAGUCAUGAAGUCCUUGCCCAUGCCUAUACCCUUAGUGGUAACACCAAGGUUUUCUUCUAGGGUUUUUAUGGUGUUAGGUCUUAUGUUUAAACCUUUAAUCCAUCUUGAGUUAAUUUUUGUAUAAGGUGUAAGGAAGGGAUCCAGUUUCAGCUUUCUGCAUAUGGCUAGUCAGUUUUCCCAGCACAAUUUAUUAAAUAGGGAAUCCUUUCCCCAUUGUUCUCUUUAAGAAGUUCUCUUGCAAUGAUCUGCAUAUCCUUUCCUUAACUUUGUCAUCCUCAUCAUCCUAACAUCAUUAGUGAUAGAAUUUAAUUUUAUAAUACUCAGUAAUAUUGUCCUAUUCAAUAUAAUAUCCUCCAUAAUCAUUUUCAUUAAAUGAUACCAUAAACUCAGCAUUGUGUUUAGUACUAGGUAUAUUUAAAAUAAAUAUUAUCUACUAUUAUUGCUAUUUUUCUUAUCCCAUUGGUCUUUUUUGAAUAGCAUAGUAAAGUAUCAUAUAUAUAUAUAUAUAUAUAUGAUUUAGUAAAAAUUGAAAUAGGCAUUGAAUAUGAGGCUGGGGUACUGACUCACUUAUACUUGAAUUCUAGCUAUAACUUUGGAUAAAUUAACAGAUACUGCUUAGCCUCAUUUCCCUUCACUUAAAAUGGGAAAGUGAUAUUAUUAUUUACGAAGUACAAUGACAUUAUUCGCCCAAAGAAUUUAGCAAAGUGCUUGGUCGUAGUAAGUAUUAAUAUUAAUUAAAAUAACAAUAAUAUACUUUAGGCUGUUUUAUUUUCAUGAAUAUAAAUGUUUUGACAGACAUCAACUUUGGACCUCAC
This is a long non-coding RNA of Callithrix jacchus (white-tufted-ear marmoset), 3370 nucleotides long. The record is from Ensembl. Lineage: Eukaryota; Metazoa; Chordata; Mammalia; Primates; Cebidae.